UACAGAGGUCCCGAGCGUUGUUCGGAUUCAUUGGGCGUAAAGGGUGCGUAGGCGGCGGGGAAGGUCUGAUGUGAAAUCCUGGGGCUCAACCCUGGAACUGCAUUGGAUACUUCCUUGCUAGAGUACUGGAGAGGAAACUGGAAUUUACGGUGUAGCAGUGAAAUGCGUAGAGAUCGUAAGGAAGACCAGUGGCGAAGGCGAGUUUCUGGACAGUUCCUGACGCUGAGGCACGAAGGCCAGGGGAGCAAACGGG
This 253-nucleotide ribosomal RNA is filed under the name uncultured bacterium. Its description in RNAcentral is "partial 16S ribosomal RNA". It matches the Rfam family "Bacterial small subunit ribosomal RNA", at positions 524 to 776 of the family's 1533-position model. The record is from RNAcentral.